Molecule: ribosomal RNA, 252 nt
Filed under: uncultured bacterium
Lineage: Bacteria
Description: partial 16S ribosomal RNA
Rfam family: Bacterial small subunit ribosomal RNA
Source: RNAcentral
UACGUAGGGCGCAAGCGUUGUCCGGAAUUAUUGGGCGUAAAGAGCUCGUAGGCGGCUUGUCACGUCGGGUGUGAAAGCCCGGGGCUUAACCCCGGGUCUGCAUUCGAUACGGGCAGGCUAGAGUGUGGUAGGGGAGAUCGGAAUUCCUGGUGUAGCGGUGAAAUGCGCAGAUAUCAGGAGGAACACCGGUGGCGAAGGCGGAUCUCUGGGCCAUUACUGACGCUGAGGAGCGAAAGCGUGGGAGCGAACAGG